This 253-nucleotide ribosomal RNA is filed under the name uncultured bacterium. RNAcentral describes it as "partial 16S ribosomal RNA". It matches the Rfam family "Bacterial small subunit ribosomal RNA", at positions 524 to 776 of the family's 1533-position model. The record is from RNAcentral.
UACGUAGGGUGCGAGCGUUGUCCGGAAUUACUGGGCGUAAAGCGUGCGCAGGCGGUUUUGCAAGCCGGAUGUGAAAUCCCCGGGCUCAACCUGGGAAUGGCAUUUGGGACUGCAAGGCUCGAGUGCGGCAGAGGAGACUGGAAUUCCUGGUGUAGCAGUGAAAUGCGUAGAUAUCAGGAGGAAUACCGAUGGCGAAGGCAGGUCUCUGGGCUGACACUGACGCUCAUGCACGAAAGCGUGGGGAGCAAACAGG